Molecule: ribosomal RNA, 448 nt
Filed under: Streptococcus gordonii
Lineage: Bacteria; Bacillati; Bacillota; Bacilli; Lactobacillales; Streptococcaceae
Description: bacterial SSU rRNA
Rfam family: Bacterial small subunit ribosomal RNA
Source: RNAcentral
GACGAACGCUGGCGGCGUGCCUAAUACAUGCAAGUAGAACGCACAGUUUAUACCGUAGCUUGCUACACCAUAGACUGUGAGUUGCGAACGGGUGAGUAACGCGUAGGUAACCUGCCUGGUAGCGGGGGAUAACUAUUGGAAACGAUAGCUAAUACCGCAUAAUAUUAAUUAUUGCAUGAUAACUGAUUAAAAGGUGCAAUUGCACCACUACCAGAUGGACCUGCGUUGUAUUAGCUAGUAGGUGAGGUAACGGCCCACCUAGGCGACGAUACAUAGCCGACCUGAGAGGGUGAUCGGCCACACUGGGACUGAGACACGGCCCAGACUCCUACGGGAGGCAGCAGUAGGGAAUCUUCGGCAAUGGACGAAAGUCUGACCGAGCAACGCCGCGUGAGUGAAGAAGGUUUUCGGAUCGUAAAGCUCUGUUGUAAGAGAAGAAACGGGUGUG